UGAGGAAUAUUGGUCAAUGGGGCGUAAGCCUGAACCAGCCAAGUCGCGUGAGGGAAGACGGUCCUACGGAUUGUAAACCUCUUUUGCCGGGGAGCAACGGGGUCCUUGCGAGGGCCUUAUGAGAGUACCCGGAGAAAAAGCAUCGGCUAACUCCGUGCC
Molecule: ribosomal RNA, 159 nt
Filed under: uncultured bacterium
Lineage: Bacteria
Description: partial 16S ribosomal RNA
Rfam family: Bacterial small subunit ribosomal RNA
Source: RNAcentral